Molecule: small nucleolar RNA, 74 nt
Filed under: Castor canadensis (American beaver)
Lineage: Eukaryota; Metazoa; Chordata; Mammalia; Rodentia; Castoridae
Description: Small nucleolar RNA SNORD113/SNORD114 family (ENSCCNG00000001366.1)
Rfam family: Small nucleolar RNA SNORD113/SNORD114 family
About the family: The imprinted human domain at 14q32 contains two clusters of tandemly repeated small nucleolar RNAs named 14q(I) and 14q(II) snoRNAs.
Source: Rfam by way of RNAcentral
UGGACCAUUGAUGACAAUUAGUGACAUUUGAGUCACAGACAAUGAUAAUAUAUGUCUGAAUCUCUGAGGUCCAG